AAUAGAUACCCGGGUAGUCCACGCCGUAAACGAUGAGUGCUAAGUGUUAGAGGGUUUCCGCCCUUUAGUGCUGCAGCAAACGCAUUAAGCACUCCGCCUGGGGAGUACGGUCGCAAGACUGAAACUCAAAGGAAUUGACGGGGGCCCGCACAAGCGGUGGAGCAUGUGGUUUAAUUCGAAGCAACGCGAAGAACCUUACCAGGUCUUGACAUCCUUCGCUACUUCUAGAGAUAGAAGGUUCCCCUUCGGGGGACGGAGUGACAGGUGGUGCAUGGUUGUCGUCAGCUCGUGUCGUGAGAUGUUGGGUUAAGUCCCGCAACGAGCGCAACCCUUGACCUUAGUUGCCAGCAUUCAGUUGGGCACUCUAAGGUGACUGCCGGUGACAAACCGGAGGAAGGUGGGGAUGACGUCAAAUCAUCAUGCCCCUUAUGACCUGGGCUACACACGUGCUACAAUGGAUGGUACAAAGGGCUGCAAGACUGCGAAGUCAAGCCAAUCCCAUAAAACCAUUCUCAGUUCGGAUUGCAGGCUG
This 532-nucleotide ribosomal RNA is filed under the name uncultured bacterium. RNAcentral's name for it is "bacterial SSU rRNA". It matches the Rfam family "Bacterial small subunit ribosomal RNA", at positions 777 to 1307 of the family's 1533-position model. The record is from RNAcentral.